Molecule: ribosomal RNA, 259 nt
Filed under: uncultured bacterium
Lineage: Bacteria
Description: partial 16S ribosomal RNA
Rfam family: Bacterial small subunit ribosomal RNA
Source: RNAcentral
CGGGACGGGUGAGUAACGCGUGGGUAACCUGCCUUAUACUGGGGGAGUAACAGCCAGAAAUGGCUGCUAAUACCGCAUAAGCGCACAGCUUCGCAUGGAGCAGUGCGAAAAACUACCGGUGGUAUGAGAUGGACCCGCGUCUGAUUAGCUAGUUGGUAAGGUAACGGCUUACCAAGGCGACGAUCAGUAGCCGACCUGAGAGGGUGACCGGCCACAUUGGGACUGAGACACGGCCCAAACUCCUACGGGAGGCAGCAUG